Molecule: non-coding RNA, 21 nt
Filed under: Caenorhabditis elegans
Lineage: Eukaryota; Metazoa; Nematoda; Chromadorea; Rhabditida; Rhabditidae
Source: RNAcentral
UGCACCUCGUGAGAAGUUAUG